Molecule: transfer RNA, 72 nt
Filed under: Loxodonta africana (African savanna elephant)
Lineage: Eukaryota; Metazoa; Chordata; Mammalia; Proboscidea; Elephantidae
Description: tRNA-Ala (AGC) (tRNA-Ala-AGC-9-1)
Rfam family: tRNA
About the family: Transfer RNA (tRNA) molecules are approximately 80 nucleotides in length. Their secondary structure includes four short double-helical elements and three loops (D, anti-codon, and T loops). Further hydrogen bonds mediate the characteristic L-shaped molecular structure. tRNAs have two regions of fundamental functional importance: the anti-codon, which is responsible for specific mRNA codon recognition, and the 3' end, to which the tRNAs corresponding amino acid is attached (by aminoacyl-tRNA synthetases). tRNAs cope with the degeneracy of the genetic code in two manners: having more than one tRNA (with a specific anti-codon) for a particular amino acid; and 'wobble' base-pairing, i.e. permitting non-standard base-pairing at the 3rd anti-codon position.
Source: Rfam by way of RNAcentral
GGGGGUGUAGCUCAGUGGUAGAGCGCGUGCUUAGCAUGCACGAGGCCCUGGGUUCAAUUCCCAGCACUUCCA